This 775-nucleotide ribosomal RNA is filed under the name uncultured Neocallimastigales. RNAcentral describes it as "partial large subunit ribosomal RNA". It matches the Rfam family "Eukaryotic large subunit ribosomal RNA", at positions 24 to 649 of the family's 3401-position model. The record is from RNAcentral. Lineage: Eukaryota; Fungi; Neocallimastigomycota; Neocallimastigomycetes; Neocallimastigales.
UAUGUGAUCGUCUCUCGCAUAUCAAUAAGCGGAGGAAAAGAAACUAACAAGGAUUCCCCUAGUAACGGCGAGUGAAGCGGGAAGAGCUCAAAUUUGAAAUCUUAAAGGGUUUCCCUUUACGAAUUGUAGUUUAAAGAAGUGUUUUCUGUUGAGGUUUUGGUAAAAGUUCUUUGGAAUAGGACAUCAUAGAGGGUGAGAAUCCCGUAUUUGACCUUUACUUUCAACUUUGUGAUACACUUUCAAAGAGUCGGAUUGUUUGGGAAUGCAGUCCAAAAUGGGUGGUAAAAUUUCAUCUAAAGCUAAAUAUUGGCGAGAGACCGAUAGCGAACAAGUACCGUGAGGGAAAGAUGAAAAGAACUUUGAAAAGAGAGUUAAACAGUACGUGAAAUUGUCAAAAGGGAAGCGUUUGACACCAGUGUUGUUUUUCUGAAAAUCAAUUAAAGAACUGUUUAUGCUAAGCUGUUUAGACUUUAUCAGCUAUCUGUUUAGUUUUGAGCUUUUCUUUAAUGCACUUUUCAGUUAACAAGUCAACAUCAAUUUCUUUUGCUGUAAAAAAGCUUGAGGAAGGUGGCUUGAGAUUCGUCUUAAGUGUUUAUAGCCUCUUGCCUAUGCAGUCGGAGAGAUUGAGGUCUGCAGCGUAGAUCCUUCGGGGCUAAAUGCAUUUGUGCUAAGUUAUAACAUUUUAUAGACAACUUGUUGACUAUGAUUUGUCUUGUAGCUUACUCGCUUAUGUUAUUUUACCUACGCUUAGGAUGUUGAGUAGCGACAUACGCAC